GUCCUAGCCGUAAACGUUGGGUGCUAGGUGUGGGCGGACAUCGACCCCGUCCGUGCCGAAGCUAACGCAUUAAGCACCCCGCCUGGGGAGUACGGCCGCAAGGCUAAAACUCAAAGGAAUUGACGGGGCCCCGCACAAGCGGCGGAGCAUGUUGCUUAAUUCGAUGCGACGCGAAGAACCUUACCUGGGCUUGACAUGCAGGGUGAAACCCGUGAAAGCGGGCGCUCUUCGGAGCCUGCACAGGUGGUGCAUGGCUGUCGU
RNAcentral lists this ribosomal RNA (261 nucleotides) under uncultured bacterium. RNAcentral describes it as "partial 16S ribosomal RNA". It matches the Rfam family "Bacterial small subunit ribosomal RNA", at positions 793 to 1055 of the family's 1533-position model. The record is from RNAcentral.